GCGCGAAAACUUUACAAUGCUGGCAACAGCGAUAAGGGAACCUCGAGUGCCAGGUUACAAAUCUGGCUGUCGAGAUGCCUAAAAAGCAUUUCAUAGCAAGGGCCGGGCAAGACCGGUGCCAGCCGCCGCGGUAACACCGGCGGCUCGAGUGGUAACCGUUAUUAUUGGGUCUAAAGGGUCUGUAGCCGGCCGGAUAAGUCUCUUGAGAAAUCUGGCAGCUUAACUGUCAGGCUUUCAGGAGAUACUGUCUGGCUCGAGGCCGGGAGAGGUGAGAGGUACUUCAGGGGGAGGGGUGAAAUCUUGUAAUCCUUGAAGGACCACCAGUGGCGAAGGCGUCUCACCAGAACGGACCUGACGGCAAGGGACGAAAGCUAGGGGCACGAA
RNAcentral lists this ribosomal RNA (384 nucleotides) under uncultured bacterium. RNAcentral describes it as "bacterial SSU rRNA". It matches the Rfam family "Archaeal small subunit ribosomal RNA", at positions 339 to 723 of the family's 1478-position model. The record is from RNAcentral.